This 230-nucleotide ribosomal RNA is filed under the name uncultured bacterium. RNAcentral describes it as "partial 16S ribosomal RNA". It matches the Rfam family "Bacterial small subunit ribosomal RNA", at positions 562 to 791 of the family's 1533-position model. The record is from RNAcentral.
AAAGGGUGCGUAGGCGGCCUGUUAAGUCAGGGGUGAAAGACGGUAGCUCAACUAUCGCAGUGCCCUUGAUACUGAUGGGCUUGAAUGAACUAGAGGUAGGCGGAAUGAGACAAGUAGCGGUGAAAUGCAUAGAUAUGUCUCAGAACACCGAUUGCGAAGGCAGCUUACUAUGGUCUUAUUGACGCUGAGGCACGAAAGCGUGGGGAUCAAACAGGAUUAGAUACCCCAGU